This is a microRNA precursor of Cebus imitator (Panamanian white-faced capuchin), 84 nucleotides long. NCBI's taxonomy places the organism in Eukaryota, Metazoa, Chordata, Mammalia, Primates, Cebidae. The record is from Ensembl.
UAUUAGUUUGGUGCAAAAGUAAUUGCGGUUUUUGCCAUUACUUUCAAUGGUGAAAACCGCAAUUACUUUUGCACCAACCUAUAC